AAUUCAAGGAAUUAAGAGUUUAUGGGGGAUACCUUGGCAUUCAGAAGCGAUGAAGGACGUGGUUACCGACGAAACGCUUCGGGGAGCUGGAAACAAGCUAUGAUCCGGAGAUCUCCGAAUGAGGAAACUCUAAUACUACUUAUUGAAUACAUAAAUAAGAAAGAGCGAACCUAGGGAACUGAAACAUCUUAGUACCUAGAGGAAAAGAAAGUAAAAACGAUUCCCUUAGUAGCGGCGAGCGAAAUGGGAACAGCCUAAACUUAAUUUUAAGGGUAGCGGGACAAUUAUUAAUGAUUAAAUGUGACAAUUAGACGAACUUAGAUGGAAUGCUAAACCAAAGAGAGUGAUAGUCUCGUAGUCGAAAAUUGAAACAAUCAAAUUGUAUCCCAAGUAGCAUGGAGCACGUGAAAUUCCGUGUGAAUCAGCGAGGACCACCUCGUAAGGCUAAAUAUUCCUGAAUGACCGAUAGUGAAAUAGUACCGUGAGGGAAAGGUGAAAAGAACCCCGGGAGGGGAGUGAAAAGAACAUGAAACCAUAAACUUACAACCAGUAGGAGGACGACUAAAACGUCUGACUGCGUGCCUGUUGAAGAAUGAGCCGGCGACUUAUAAGUAGUGGCAGGUUAAGGUAGAGAAUACCGGAGCCAUAGUGAAAGCGAGCCUGAAUAGGGCGUUUGUCACUGGUUAUAGACCCGAACCCGGAUGAUCUAACCAUGGCCAGGUUGAAGCUUAGGUAAUACUAAGUGGAGGACCGAACCGACUGAUGUUGAAAAAUCAGCGGAUGAGUUGUGGUUAGGGGUGAAAUGCCAAUCGAAUUCGGAGCUAGCUGGUUCUCCCCGAAAUGCGUUUAGGCGCAGCGAUGAAUGUUAUAGCUUAGGGGUAAAGCACUGUUACGUAUGCGGGCUGGUAAUUCGGUACCAAAUCGUUGCAAACUAAGAAUACUAAGUGUACAGUUCAUCAGUGAGACUGUGGGGGAUAAGCUCCAUUGUCAAGAGGGAAACAGCCCAGAGCACCAGUUAAGGCCCCUAAAUAAUUGCUAAGUGAUAAAGGAGGUGGGAGUGCAUAGACAAUCAGGAGGUUUGCUUAGAAGCAGCAAUCCUUUAAAGAGUGCGUAAUAGCUCACUGAUCGAGUAAACCUGCGCCGAAAAUGUACGGGACUAAGUAAUUUGCCGAAACUGUGCGAUAUAUAAAAUAUAUCGGUAGGGGAGCGUUCUGUUGUAGGUUGAAGUAUUAGCGGAAGCGGAUAUGGACGAAGCAGAAGUGAGAAUGUCGGCUUGAGUAACGAAAAUAUAGGUGAGAAUCCUAUACCCCGAAAACCCAAGGUUUCCUCCGGAAGGCUCGUCCGCGGAGGGUAAGUCAGGACCUAAGGCGAGGCUGAAAAGCGUAGUCGAUGGACAACGGGUUAAUAUUCCCGUACCAUUAUUUGUUGAUAUCGAGGGACGGAGAAGGCUAAGCUGGCCGGAUAUUGGUUACCGGUUUAAACGUUCGAGAUGAUGAGAAACGGCGAAAACGUUUUGAGUUGAGGCGUGAGUACGAGAUGCUACGGCAUUGAAGCAGUCUAUGUCAUACUUCCAAGAAAAGCUUGCACUGUCAUAAACAAAUAAUGCCUGUACCAUAACCGACACAGGUGGGUAGGUAGAGUAUACUAAGGGGCGCGAGAUAACUCUCUCUAAGGAACUCGGCAAAAUGACUCCGUAACUUCGGGAGAAGGAGUGCCUUAUUUAUAAGGUUGCAAUAACAAGAUCCAAGCAACUGUUUAUCAAAAACACAGGUCUCCGCUAAGUCGUAAGACGAUGUAUGGGGGCUGACGCCUGCCCAGUGCCAGAAGGUUAAAGAAGUUGGUUAGCAUUAGCGAAGCUGAUAACUGAAGCCCUGGUGAACGGCGGCCGUAACUAUAACGGUCCUAAGGUAGCGAAAUUCCUUGUCGGGUAAGUUCCGACCCGCACGAAAGGCGUAAUGAUUUGGAUACUGUCUCAGAGAGGGGCUCGGUGAAAUAGACUUGUCUGUGAAGAUGCGGACUACCUGCACCAGGACAGAAAGACCCUAUGAAGCUUUACUGUAACUUGAAAUUGAAAUUGGACUUUAUUUGCGCAGUAUAGGUGGGAGGCUUUGAAGGUAUUCUUGUGGGAAUACUGGAGCCAUCAGUGAGAUACCACUCUUGUAAUGUUAGAUUUCUAACUUUGAAUCAUUAUCUGGUCAAAGAACAGUUUCAGGCGGGCAGUUUGACUGGGGCGGUCGCCUCCUAAACGGUAACGGAGGCGCACAAAGGUUUCCUCUGAACGGGUAGAAAUCGUAUCUAGAGUGUAAAGGCAUAAGGAAGCUUGACUGUGAGACCUACAAGUCGAGCAGGGACGAAAGUCGGUCUUAGUGAUCUGACGGUGCUGAGUGGAAAGGCCGUCACUCAACGGAUAAAAGUUACUCUAGGGAUAACAGGCUGAUCUCCCCCAAGAGUUCACAUCGACGGGGAGGUUUGGCACCUCGAUGUCGGCUCAUCGCAUCCUGGGGCGGUAGUACGUCCCAAGGGUUGGGCUGUUCGCCCAUGAAAGCGGUACGCGAGCUGGGUUCAGAACGUCGUGAGACAGUUCGGUCCAUAUCCGGUGUAGGCGUUAGAAUAUUGAGAGGAGCCUUCUUUAGUACGAGAGGACCGAGAAGGACAUACCUAUGGUGUACCAGUUAUCGUGCCAACGGUAAACGCUGGGUAGCUAUGUAUGGAGUGGAUAACCGCUGAAAGCAUCUAAGUGGGAAGCCCACCUCAAGAUAAGUAUUCUCAUCACGUAAGUGAAUAAGGUCACGGUAAGACUAACCGUUUGAUAGGCAUUAAGUGUAAACCUAGUAAUAGGUGUGCUGAGAUGUACUAACAGACCGAAGACUUGAAUUU
This 2877-nucleotide ribosomal RNA is filed under the name Phaeodactylum tricornutum. RNAcentral's name for it is "bacterial LSU rRNA". It matches the Rfam family "Bacterial large subunit ribosomal RNA". Lineage: Eukaryota; Bacillariophyta; Bacillariophyceae; Surirellales; Neidiaceae. The record is from RNAcentral.